RNAcentral lists this long non-coding RNA (378 nucleotides) under Chrysemys picta bellii (western painted turtle). Its description in RNAcentral is "lncRNA (ENSCPBG00000026164.1)". The record is from RNAcentral. Lineage: Eukaryota; Metazoa; Chordata; Testudines; Emydidae.
AUAGGAAAACAAUAUCCUUCACAGUUAUUUCUAUUCUGUGAUUUCCCCAAACUAUUGUCUAGACAAGCUGAGUAGUAAUUCUGAGGGUGAUUCUGAUGAAAGUGAGCUUAUGCAAGCUAGAGAUAUUGAUGACAUCCAACACCACUGACCCAAACAUUUCCAGUACCAUGAAGAACAAAAGACUCCCCCUAUAGUAUGACUGAAAAAAAUGUGUCAAAAAGAGAAAACUGACAACAGUACAUGGAAACAGGGUAUAACAAGACAGAAACUGCAGAAACUGCACGAUGGACACUGGCAGCUGGACUGAAGGGCAGUGAGGACCCCAAGGAGUUAAAAUAUCAUGUUAAGGUGAAGUAUUCAGUGUGGUACCACAAGGAC